GAUGAACGCUGGCGGCGUGCCUAAUACAUGCAAGUCGAGCGAACGGACGAGAAGCUUGCUUCUCUGAUGUUAGCGGCGGACGGGCGAGUAACACGUGGAUAACCUACCUAUAAGACUGGGAUAACUUCGGGAAACCGUAGCUAAUACCGGAUAAUAUUUUGAACCGCAUGGUUCAAGAGUGAAAGACGGUCUUGCUGUCACUUAUAGAUGGAUCCGCGCUGCAUUAGCUAGUUGGUAAGGUAACGGCCUACCAAGGCAACGAUGCAUAGCCGACCUGAGAGGAUGAUCGGCCACACUGGAACUGAGACACGGUCCAGACUCCUACGGGAGGCAGCAGUGGGGAAUCUUCCACAAUGGGCGAAAGCCUGACGCAGCAACGCCGCGUGAGUGAAGAAGGUCUUCGGAUCGUAAAACUCUGUUAUUAGGGAAGAACAGAUGUGUGAGUAACUGUGCACAUCUUGACGGUACCUAAUCAAAAAGCCACGGCUAACUACGUG
RNAcentral lists this ribosomal RNA (497 nucleotides) under uncultured bacterium. Its description in RNAcentral is "partial 16S ribosomal RNA". It matches the Rfam family "Bacterial small subunit ribosomal RNA", at positions 28 to 507 of the family's 1533-position model. The record is from RNAcentral.